GGUAGGAUCAUUAACACUUCUGUUGUUAAAACAAAAACCCCAAACGUGAACUUCUUUUGAACUGUAACAUCGUUGCAACAAAAAAAAAGCAGCCGUAAAGGUUUUUUUUUUUUUUUUUGUUGUAUCGUUAACUUUUUUUUUUUUUGACCCCAUUCUAAAACACUUCUUAAUAACUUAUACCAAUGACUGAUUUGGGAUAGGAUGAACAAUUGUUGUAUAUGAUUUCUUCAGUGAAUUCAUGCACAAUUACAUUGUACAUUAAUUUUAUUAAUCAUUUCAUUACAACUUUUGGCAGUGGAUAUCUUGGCUCUUGCAUCGAUGAAGAACGCAGCAAACUGCGAUAAUUAAUGCGAAUCGCAGAAACCUGUGAGUCAUCAAGAUUUUGAACGCACAUUGCGGUUUGGAGGGGCUUGCUCCUCUGGACCAUACCUGUUUGAGAAUUGGUUAUUCACUCUCAAACCCCAACCUUUGGGUUGGGAGUUUGGAUCUGAGAAGUUAAUGAGCUGAGUUUGUUCUCGGCACAUUCUUCUUGAAUAUCAUUCCAUUUGUUUGAAUUGUCACGAGCAGACAUUUAAUGAUGCAUCCGCUCCGCUGUGCGUAUAUUAAGUUAAUAUAUGCACGAUAUAGCGUCUCAUGUAUCAGUUUGAGCGUGCAACUCAGUUUUUUUUUAAUGACAUGAUGGAUCGAGCCGCGUUGUUCGGCUUCACAACAUAACCCCCAAACAUAAUCUCAAAUCAGGUAAGAAGACCCGCUGAACUGAAGCAUCUUAUUAAGCGGAGGAAAAGAAACUAACUAGGAUUCCCUUAGUAGCAGCGAGUGAACAGGGAAGAGCUCAAAGUUAAAAUCAGGCUUCGUAAGGGGCUUGAGUUGUACUGUUGAGAGGUAACUUGGUGGUUGAACAUCUGGUAUAAGUUCCCUUAGAAUGGACGUCAUAGAGGGUGAAAAUCCCGUCUUUGACCAGAUCGAUCAAUCACUAUGGGUUGCCAUCUUAGAGUCGGGUUGUUUGGGAGUACAGCCCAAAGUGGGUGGUAAGCUUCAUCUAAAGCUAAAUAUCUGCAAGAGACCGAUAGCAAACAAGUACCGCGAGGGAAAGAUGAAAAGCACUUUGAAAAGAGAGUGACAAUAGCACUUGAAGCUGCCAAAAGGACAAGCAAUUACGGCUGUUGUUGCGCUGGUUUAUCUCUCCAGAUAUGUGGAUCUACGUGUUCUAUGAGAGCCUCAAAACCUCAUUCUUCACGCUGAUGAAGCAUAUAGGAGGUAGAUGAACUGGGGCCGGUCAACGAUGAUUUUCGACUCGUCAUAAGAAGGAUGGAAGGUAGGAAUUCAAGUCGAGCUUCGGCUCUUCUUGAGUUCUGUUAUAGCCGCCUUCGGAAACGAACGUGAGAUCAUGACACUAACCCUUGAGGUUGGAAUCGUGAGCGCUGACAUGUAUCUACAGUUUGAUGCAAGCGGCUGAUCCCCUACUUGUAGGAGGUUGGUGCGGCUUGUAUCCUGUACGAUGCAUCUCAUGCUCGUGAUUAAUGUUGACAUCUGACGGCUUUAAUUGUCCCGUCUUGAAACACGGACCAAGGAGUCUAACAUAUGUGCGAGUGUUCGGGUGUAAAACCCAUGAACGCGUAAUGAAAGUAAAGGAUGGCAUUAGUCAUCUGAGGUAGGAAUCGCAAUGCCGCAAGGUGUUACGAGGCACUAUCGACCGAUCUGGAUUUUUGAAGGAUUCGAGUUAGAGCACAUCUGUUAGGACCCGAAAGACGGUGAACUAUGCCUGAAUAGGAUGAAGCCAGAGGAAACUCUGGUGGAAGUCCGAAGCGAUACUGACGUGCAAAUCGUUCGUCAAAUUUGGGUAUAGGGGCGAAAGACUAAUCGAACCGUCUAGUAGCUGGUUCCCUC
This 1887-nucleotide unclassified non-coding RNA is filed under the name uncultured fungus. RNAcentral's name for it is "sequence contains 18S rRNA gene, ITS1, 5.8S rRNA gene, ITS2, 28S rRNA gene". The stretch from base 725 to 1887 matches the Rfam family "Eukaryotic large subunit ribosomal RNA", at positions 1 to 961 of the family's 3401-position model. Lineage: Eukaryota; Fungi. The record is from RNAcentral.